Molecule: ribosomal RNA, 253 nt
Filed under: uncultured bacterium
Lineage: Bacteria
Description: partial 16S ribosomal RNA
Rfam family: Bacterial small subunit ribosomal RNA
Source: RNAcentral
UACGAAGGGGGCUAGCGUUGCUCGGAAUUACUGGGCGUAAGGCGCACGUAGGCGGCUUUCUAAGUCGGGGGUGAAAUCCUGGAGCUCAACUCCAGAACUGCCUUCGAUACUGGAGAGCUCGAGUCCGGGAGAGGUGAGUGGAACUGCGAGUGUAGAGGUGAAAUUCGUAGAUAUUCGCAAGAACACCAGUGGCGAAGGCGGCUCACUGGCCCGGUACUGACGCUGAGGUGCGAAAGCGUGGGGAGCAAACAGG